UCAAAUCGCUCAGCACCUACCCGGUAUAUAACAAGUUGCCGUAUUAGUAGUGCUAAUAAACUUUAAAGUAGUCACAAUGUAUUCCUUUAGCAAGUGAAAAAUUAAACAAGCAUGAAGUGCUACGCUAAUUAAGUUUUAUUUAUUAUAAAUAGAUUAAGUUAAAUGUCGAACGGAUGAUUAGGUACACCUGCAGCGGUGCAGCUACGGAUUCCUAAACUGAUUUAAGGGUGAUCGCCUUGCCCACAAUCUUAAUGCUGGUAUAGACCCGACAUGCUUCACGACAGGAGCGGUAGGUAAGUAAAAUUAGUCUGACCUUGCUUUUGAUCUAAUUCAAACUGGUGGAAUUACGGAUGUCCAAAAAGGUGGUUGAAGCCGGGGUUUUUCCACAGGACUCUUAUCAGAUUGGGUCUCCACUAGUCGCUAUCAGAUUGGGCUCGUUAGAUAAUACCAGAGAAUAGGAAAGCGGCCUAUGGAUUAAUGGGUCUUAAUAAAAAGUGAUCGGAGAUUGUACUCACCAGUGGUAUAAAGUUUAAAUUUAAAACAAUUAUAUUCAGCUCAACAACUGACCACCAGCCUCGCCUUAUA
Long non-coding RNA from Photinus pyralis (common eastern firefly), 585 nucleotides. RefSeq lists it as uncharacterized. The record is from RefSeq and is a predicted model, not a curated record. NCBI's taxonomy places the organism in Eukaryota, Metazoa, Arthropoda, Insecta, Coleoptera, Lampyridae. The transcript is spliced from 3 exons.